UUGGAGGGCAAGUCUGGUGCCAGCAGCCGCGGUAAUUCCAGCUCCAAUAGCGUAUAUUAAAGUUGUUGCAGUUAAAAAGCUCGUAGUUGAAUUUCGGGAUGAUCAGGUUGGUCGUGCCAUUGGUAUGUACUAGCUUUGGUGGUUCCUACCUCUUGAAGAACCGUAAUGUCAUUAACUUGGUGUUGCGGGGAAUCAGGACUGUUACUUUGAAAAAAUUAGAGUGUUUAAAGCAGGCAAACGCUUGAAUACAUUAGCAUGGAAUAGUGAAAUAGGACGUUUGAUCUUAUUUUGUUGGUUUCUAGGAUCGACGUAAUGAUUAAUAGGGAUAGUUGGGGGCAUUAGUAUUCAAUUGUCAGAGGUGAAAUUCUUGGAUUUAUUGAAGACUAACUACUGCGAAAGCAUUUGCCAAGGAUGUUUUCAUUAAUCAAGAACGAAAGUUAGGGGAUCGAAGACGAUCAGAUACCGUCGUAGUCUUAACCAUAAACUAUGCCGACUAGGGAUCGGAUGAUGUUAAUUUUUUAAUGACUCAUUCGGCGCCUUACGGGAAAC
This 549-nucleotide ribosomal RNA is filed under the name uncultured Glomus. Its description in RNAcentral is "SSU rRNA". It matches the Rfam family "Eukaryotic small subunit ribosomal RNA", at positions 548 to 1098 of the family's 1831-position model. Lineage: Eukaryota; Fungi; Glomeromycota; Glomeromycetes; Glomerales; Glomeraceae. The record is from RNAcentral.